Long non-coding RNA from Sebastes umbrosus (honeycomb rockfish), 961 nucleotides. RefSeq lists it as uncharacterized. NCBI's taxonomy places the organism in Eukaryota, Metazoa, Chordata, Actinopteri, Perciformes, Sebastidae. The transcript is spliced from 3 exons. The record is from RefSeq and is a predicted model, not a curated record.
UUGAAUGCUGCCCUUCGUCUGCUACAGAGGCACAUAAUGGAAACUCCACAUUGUGAGUCUGUCCUUUUUACUUGGUCGACCGUGCUUCAGGUCCGUUUUACACAUCGCAGUCCACAGAUGAAUCCACAUGCAGCAGGUAAAAGCACAGAGAGAGAGAGAGAGAGAGAGAGAGACAGAGACACAGACAGAGAGAGAGUAGAGAGUAGUAGAGAGGGAGAUAUGAGGGUGUGGAUCCUUUGAAGAGACACCGUCAACACACACACACACACACACACACACACUCUCUGAAUAACACUAACAUGUGUUUCAGUUUACAAACGGCCAUAAAAAUGCUUCUUCAUCCUGCUGCUGAACCUCCUGCGCUGCUCGACCUCAUUAGGAGUUACUGCACACAAACACACUGAAUGCAUAAUAAUCUCAACACAGCAGAAAUGUCUUCCCCAAACGUUGCACAUGGAUGAAUUCAAAAGUUGAAUAUGUUCUGGUAUUUGAGUACUUAAAGUUACUUUAAGUUUGUGUUGAUUGUGGCGCUCCCUGUGGACAAAAGCCGUAUUGUUUCCCAGCUCCAGAGUCCCUUUAGAAAACCUCUCAUUUUACUGCAGCAGGGUCUGACAGUCUCCAACGACAUAUCGCUGAUGGUCUCGUUUACUAAAGGAACUCUGGUGCUCUGAAAUCAGUCCUAACGAGUUCAAAGUUCCUCACAGUAACUUUAAAUACAUGGCUGAUUUUAAUUUACCUCACAGGAUAUAAAGAGACAAAGUCCCACCAUGGGACCUUAUUUCGGAAAAAAUAUGAACCGCGAGAAACAAAUAAUUUAGUUCGAUCCUGUUUUAAUUGCUCCAUGAUUCACACAUAUGAUGUUUGUCAAUUUAAAAGACUUAACUUUGCAAGUCAAGAAAGUCUCAGUUUGUUGUAAAACUGUUGAAGUAUCAGACUGAAAAUACGUCAUUAGAAAGACGAC